This 254-nucleotide ribosomal RNA is filed under the name uncultured bacterium. RNAcentral describes it as "partial 16S ribosomal RNA". It matches the Rfam family "Archaeal small subunit ribosomal RNA", at positions 474 to 728 of the family's 1478-position model. The record is from RNAcentral.
UACCAGCACCCCGAGUGGUCGGGACGAUUAUUGGGCCUAAAGCAUCCGUAGCCGGUUCUGCAAGUCCUCCGUUAAAUCCAACUGCUUAACAGAUGGGCCGCGGAGGAUACUACAGAGCUAGGAGGCAGGAGAGGCAAGCGGUACUCAGUGGGUAGGGGUAAAAUCCGUUGAUCCAUUGAAGACCACCAGUGGCGAAGGCGGCUUGCCAGAAUGCGCUCGACGGUGAGGGAUGAAAGCUGGGGGAGCAAACCGGG